Molecule: ribosomal RNA, 253 nt
Filed under: uncultured bacterium
Lineage: Bacteria
Description: partial 16S ribosomal RNA
Rfam family: Bacterial small subunit ribosomal RNA
Source: RNAcentral
UACGAAGGGGGCUAGCGUUGUUCGGAUUUACUGGGCGUAAAGCGCACGUAGGCGGAUCUUUAAGUCAGAGGUGAAAUCCCAAGGCUCAACCUUGGAACUGCCUUUGAUACUGGCUGUCUUGAGUUCGGGAGAGGUGAGUGGAAUGCCGAGUGUAGAGGUGAAAUUCGUAGAUAUUCGGCGGAACACCAGUGGCGAAGGCGACUCACUGGCCCGAUACUGACGCUGAGGCGCGAAAGCGUGGGGAGCAAACAGG